Molecule: ribosomal RNA, 390 nt
Filed under: Triticum aestivum (bread wheat)
Lineage: Eukaryota; Viridiplantae; Streptophyta; Magnoliopsida; Poales; Poaceae
Description: partial small subunit ribosomal RNA
Source: RNAcentral
CUUUACUUACAUCUGAUUAAAAGUGCUAGGGGCUUCCCACUGAAAUUUUUGUGGAAAGUCAAAGUGCCUGCUAAAAUAAAUUUUUUCUUAUGGCUGCUUAAUAAAAAAAGUGUUCUUACUAGAGAUAACCUGUUGAGGAGAGAGUGGAAAGGAGACAAAAACUGCGUGUUUUGUAAUCAGGAUGAGACCAUUGACCAUUUAUCUUUCUCCUGUUCGAUGGCUAGGCUAAUCCAGAACUUGUUGGAAUGUGCUUUUGAUUUGCGUUCAAUGCCUGAUAAUCUGCAUGAUUGCUUUGGUAAAUGGAUAAAAUUGUUUUCUAAGAAUGACAAAAAAAUUGGUACUUAUUGGCAUUUCUGCUCUAUUUCGGGUGAUAUGGAAAUGCAGAAAUGA